This is an RNA transcript of Nerophis ophidion (straightnose pipefish), 6928 nucleotides long. It is a transcript of the gene named calcium-binding protein 5-like, with no coding region annotated. The transcript is spliced from 8 exons. The record is from RefSeq and is a predicted model, not a curated record. NCBI's taxonomy places the organism in Eukaryota, Metazoa, Chordata, Actinopteri, Syngnathiformes, Syngnathidae.
UUUGACGUUGACGGCGAUGGCUGCAUCACUUCCGAUGAGCUGAGGCACGCCAUGGUGAAGUUGCUGGGCGUGCAAACCAGCAAGAAGGAAAUUGACGCGGUGGUGAGGGAAGCUGACCGCAAUGGGGAUGGAACUGUCGACUUUGAGGAUGAGCCAUCUGCCUCAGGGCUUAUCAGCCGUGCUUGUGAGAGCGCUUAUGUGUCAGCGUCCUGGUGGCCAUUGUCUGAUGACCUCCUGGUGAAGAUGGUUCCUGUGAUAGUGUUUACUCACAUGUCUCCUCUGUACUCAGCCAUGCAAUCAUUGGUCCACAUUGUUACUUAUGUGUAUGUUGUGUGUGUUUGUAUUUGGUAUCUGUAUCUGUGCGUACGUAUUAGAUAACGGGGGAUAUGGGUCACCGGGGUAUUGUUUUUAACUUUGUAAAGCACUUUGCAUUGCAUUUAUUUUAUGUAUGAAAAGCGCUUAAGUAAUAAAGCUUGAUGAUGAAAACACAAGAUCCACUUCGGGUAAAUUAAAACUGACUCAAUCGAUCCUGUCUCAGAAGCAGCCAAUGAGGAUUUAGAUUGGAAGUCACGUGACACGGGUACUACAAAGAGGCAGCUAAUGCAGCACUACAUGCGGCGUGUAAUCUGUAUGUGCUAUGAUCGCUUUUUAUUAACACAUUAAACAGUGAUGGUUACUAUGUGUUAGUGGGGAAAAAUAAUCCCAAAAUUCCGCAAAAAAGGAUGAAAGCAAACAUGGUGGUACAAACACGCAAUGUCUGUCACAAAAAAACGUUAUAACAGACCAUCUCAAAAACGGAAUGCAAUUUCUAUUUUUAUUUAAAAAAACUCAGAAUGUACCUUAAAAUACAGAAUGUCAGAUUUACAAUUUGAAGUAUGAACACUAUACUUUGAGAAUUUAAAAACGUUUCUCCAUCCUCCACUGCAGACCACCUCCUCGAUCGACAUCUUUUCAAAUCAAAGGAUGGUCGUCCGUUGGGGGAGGGACACCCGCCUCAAGCAAGAACGACAAAGAUGCAACAUCCAUCCAUUUCUACCGCUUAUUCCCUUUGGGGUCGCGGGGGGCGCUGGUCCCUAUCUCAGCUACAAUCGGGCAGAAGGCGGUGUACACCCUGGACAAGUCACCACCUCAUCGCAGGGCAAGAUGCAAUAUACACAUCGAAAUAUAAACGCAAAGUGUAAAAAAAAAAAUCCACAUAUUCGAUAUAUCACUUUUCUGCAGAAUUACUAGAUUGUCCCCAGGUGCGCGAUCCACGCUUGAUUGUGGCGUCGCUCCCGACGCGCCUCGCCGCUCGCUCGCCAUUCCCGCCUCCUCGCCGCCAUCUUGGGCUGGGCUCCGGCGUGCCCUGCCUCUCUGUUGGACUGCCGGCUGCGCAUCUCCACACCAUUAAAAUCAUACCUAUAGUUUGGAAACGUCCAGCGAGCAGCAUUGAAAUAUUAAUUAUGUCGUAUUAUGCCCAGAUAACUGCCUUUUUUAAUGCUGUUUUGAAAGACCCGUGUCACGUGACUUCAAACAUUUAUUUAUAAACUGCAACAUUUACAAACAAUCGAGAAAUAAUAAUAAUCAAAAUAAGUACAAAAACAGUACAAAUCAGUGCCAGGGGGUUGUAAACUCUAUAAAGUACCUAAAAUAGAAUUAUAUAUAUAUAUAUAUAUGUAUAUAUGUAUGUGUACAGGCCUAACUGCUUGGCAUCUCUGCCUGUCGCACCUCCUCCAGUGCACAACGAGGUCAGCUGCAGGGUCGUCAGCUGGUGCCACCGUUCACUGAUGUUUCGCCCCCAAGCCAGGACACCUCGCGUUGGGGGGGCAAGUGGCUAAGCGGGGACGUCUCCCCGCCCCACUCCCUGCAACUGACCUCAAUGUGGUGUUGAGCCCCAAGUGUUGUCCCUCCUCCUUAGCCACAUCCAGAAACUUGCCUCCUCUGCCAACUCCUUGAUGGCCCUCCUCAGGCUGGAACCAUUCAAUUCCCGCCGCACGCAGGAGCCGGGUCCCAGAACCGACUAAGAAACCCCUGCAUCCGAUCUCCACGGGGUGAAUGGACACAGACCAGCCUCCGCCCUUGCAGGUCUGCCAACUUGCGGCUCCCCUUACAAAAAAGCACCUGAUUGUGUCGCCACCGGAAGCGCCCCUGCGUCAGCGUGACGCUGCAACCUGACAGGAUGUGUUUGAGUCCUGCAUUGUCUUUGCUGCACAGGCAGCACUUGCCCUUUCUUCCGAACCACUGGGAGAGGUUUCGAGGGCAUGGCAGUGUGUCAUAAGCUGCCCUCACGAGGAAGCUGAGCCGUGAUUGAGGAGUGCACCAGAUGUCGGCCCAGCCUCGAGACAGCUUGGUCGACUUCGACCUGGAUCCUCCACUUUCCUCCAGUGCGGACUGUCACCGCUGCACUCUUCACAGCUUUGUCUCUUGAUUCCCUCAACUCCAGUACAAGGCGAGUCUUUUCUGCCCGUAACCCAGAUUGAUGGACUUCAGAGGAAGUUGCAGAAUGUUCUUGCCGAAAAGACCUGUGUCUGGGAAACAGCGGGGGAGGCCCAGCCACUUCCUGAUAUAACUGUUGGCGAUGCUGUCCAUCUUGCUGGCCUUAAAAGAUGAAAUUUUGGCCACUUUCAGCGACCACAUGACGCGGUGGAAAAAGUGUGUGUGUGUGUAUAUUAGGGAUGUAACGGUACGUGUAUUUGUAUUGAACCGUUUCGGUACGGAGGUUUCGGUUCGGUUCAGAGGUGUACCAAACUAAUACACAUGCUAGCAGCGACCGGGCUAGGACAACAUAUAAAAGCCAGAGCUGGAAGUCCCUCCUGCCUCGUUAAGAUCUCCCGUUUGGGAACACUUUGGCUGCGCGAUACAACAAUGGAGGACGGAAGUUUGCCGAUAUUGUUCAGCAGCUGCUUCUGACAAGACGUCAAACGUGUUGCACCUUUCCUGCUUCCGGCUCCCAGACCGUAGUCGAGCAGCGCAGGGGAGACACUCCUCCAGGGCUGAUGUAUUCUCGGGGGCAACACCCUUCACUCUACCCGGCAGUGUGUCUCCACAGCUCCGGACUCCAGGGUAAAUGAAGCGUCCGGCAAUUAGUUGCAAAUCGUGGCUUUGUGGAGGUCUUGCAGACAGCCAAUCCAACAAAACACCAGCCACUCCCGCACUUGUGCUAAGCUCCCUCACCUCGCUUGCCCACACACUCACUGACGUCACAUGCUGUCACAUAUUAAAGGGCCACACACACACACACACACGCUACUCUCAUAACACAUGCUAACCCAUUUGAAGCGUCACCACCGCAUUCAAGCAGCCUCUCCUCAGCAAGUCAGGCAGGGGUAAAGCAAUAACAAAUGUUUUUAUAGCAGCAGAUUUAAGUCCAUAUUGCAAUAAAAACUACAUUUUGACCCAUUUCUAUGGUGGAAAAACAAUGAGCCCAUAUAUCCUCUUACUGCCAAGUUAGUCAGGCUAAUAAAAGUCUCAAUCAAUCAAUAAAAAAAAGCACUUUAUAUGUAGAAAGGAUUUGUUAAGAAACCAUUCUGAGCCUUAUCUUAUUUAGUUUUUAUUUUAUACAUGUGGACCACAUUAACCCUGGCAAUGGACCUUGUGUGUAUAUGUAUGUUAUGCCAUCGUUUACAAAUUUGGUAAAUAAAUAACCCAAAAAAAUUAUAUUUUGUAGUUUUCUUACUGUACCGAAAAUGAACCAAACCGUGACCUCUAAACCGAAGUAUGUACUGAACCGAAAUUUUUGUGUACCUUUACACCCCUAGUGUAACGCUACAACGCAUUUAGUUGUAUUCAGUGCUAAAAAAUUAUAUCGCUCUAACGGAAAUACUUUUUAAAAUAUUUGGCUUGUAUGGCUCUCUCACCAAAAAGGUGUGUAUAUACACACACAUAUACAUAUACAUAUACAUAUACAUAUAUAUAUAUAUAUAUAUAUAUAUAUAUAUAUAUAUAUAUAUAUAUAUAUAUAGUGGAGUUAAAACCCAUAAGUGACAGUAACCCACGGGAACCUUUUUGGCUGAGAGAGCCAUAAAAGUCAAAUAUUUUUAAAAAUAUUUCCGUGAGAGCCAUAUAAUAUAUUUUUUUAAAACUGAAUACAACUAAAUGCAUGCAUUUUUAAGUAAGACCAACAUUUUUAGAGUAUAAUAAGUCUCUUAUUAUUUUUGAUAACAUUGUUAUUCUGAAGCUAACCAACAAUAAAUAAAAUCAUUCUUACCAUUAAUGCGAUUUCUUGAACAGAUGCGGUAGAAACCGGAUGGAUGGAUUAAAAUGCAUGAGAAUGUUUUAAAUUUUGAACGUUAUUUUUGACACUGUAAUUGCCAGCGGAAAUAUUCAUUACUUACCGUGUUAAGCAAUGUCAUCAAAAGAGCCACAUCUGGCUCUAGAGCCAUAGGUUCCCUACCCCUGCCCUACAUGUGUAAUGAUAGUGUUUGACCACAUGGUGGUAGUAAUAGUCUACAAAUGACUAGGAACCAAUUAUAGUAUGUGUCUAGUAGGACUCAUUAGAGGUAGACACACCUUGUAUGCACGACGGUUGAAGAAGCGUUGGUUAUAUGUUAUCGUUAUUAAAAGACAGUUCUACAAGACAUCCAACGAUGUGUUAUUUAAAACAAUAACAUAACAACAUGGUCAAAAUCAGUGAAAACUACAAUUCCCAGAAUGCCAAGGUAAAAUGGACGCCAAAUUACUAAUUGAAGGCAUUCAUUCCCCAAACAAUUUCCAUGGAAGAAAGAACAGCAAGCAGCCACAACCGCAAGAUCCUCUCAACAAGUUUCUCCAAACACAUCAAUGGUGUGAACCGCCCCAGGUAACAAGUUGACUUGAGACAGACGAAGGCGGCUUUGUAUGCUGAACUUCCCAUCUGGGCCUCUGCUGGGUUGACUGGUGUUGAAGUCCAACAGCUCAUUGGUGUCAUCUAGAAACCAGGAGACGUUAACGGACGCGGGACUGAAGCCAAACACCAGACACACCAGUGCACCACGACCCUGGAGCAAGAUGGCUGACGGUUGAGUAGGAGUCACUGUGGCUGUGGAGAUGGAAGUUUUAAGGAAGACAUUUGUUUAUAUGCAUCCCAGUCAUUUGCUGGCACACUGAGGAAGCUCCGUAAGGUCUCUGUACCAUUGCUGUGACGAGUUGGCUCCUCCGUGUGGGAAUUCUGAGAGUAUUUCUUCCCAUCUACUUUCCAGGAGAUGACAAAAUCAUGAAGUCGAGGGCCAACCAAAAGACAAGUAAUGGUCACCUUGUCCCUCUGCUGAGACUCUGGCAAGACCCAGAAGACGUGUACUAAGACAAGUCACACAGACCACCUAUCUGUACGAGUUGGGUGGUCCUGGUGACGUAUGUGGAGUUUACAGGGUUGUCAUCGACAAGCCAAGACACCAGAACCUCUUGGGGGAAGAAGUCUUUCACUAAGCAAGUCAGGGUAACCAUGUUUUUAUCAGUUUGUUCCACUGGAGGCAUCAUAAACACCGCAGGAUUUUGAGUUGAUUUACCUGCAAGUGCGACAGAACAACAUUUGACCACAGGAAGUAGUAUCAAACAGUUACAGUUUUCUUACCAGCAGUUCUUUUAUAGGAUUUCUUCACUGGGUUCGCAAUCUUUGAAUGCUUCACCACGCAGGUGCGCGCUAUCCCUGUGCUCCAUUCGUCAUACGUGAUGUCAAGCCGGGUCUCAAAUGGGCCCGAAUCGUUCUCCGGGGUGCUUUUCAAGGUCCCGGCCAUCUCGUUGUCAUCUUGGUCCUCCCACAAAAUACUCUGCACAGAUAGCCUGCUAGCUUUGACCUGACAUAUCACGGUGCCUUUUUUGUUCAGAAAGAUGUCUUCCAUUGUGGGGCCGCUGAUCUGUAUAUCGACAUCCGCCUCCGGGCAUCCUUCGCCUGUUGAAUGGACAGGAAGUCUUUUUCAAGGUCGUUGUGUGAUUUACAUUGAGUGUGUUGCAUUUUAGCCCGCGUUCACACUGGUUGUUCGGACCAAAAUAUAUGCAUUGAAAGACUUGAUUGGACACUUUUAUUGACCUAACUCAAUUAUUUCAAACCAAAAAUAGUUUUUUUUUUUACACUUUGCUAUUUUUACCAGUUUAUUUGUACUAGGGCAGUUAAAUCAUGUGAUUAAUCACAACAGUGCAUUAAGCAUGGGUGCAUGCAUAUUAAUUACACAUUUUAUUUUGAGCAUACAUGUUCCUUGACUUCAAACGCAGAUGGUUACCUGAAAGGUGGCCUACUUUUUUUGUUGUACCGCAAACGUAUUGCACCCAAUUCCUGAUGAUUGAUUCACACCAAUUUUAGCAAAUAAUUUUUUGGCGUUGAAAUAUAAUUAAACUAAUGCUGUUAAAUGUAACAAGUUAACUCAUGUGAAUCAUCAACCAAAGAAUUGCAUUAAUCAUGCGUAUACACAGAUUAAUCACGCAAUUUAUUUUGACCGCACAUGCUCCUUUACCUUUACCGUGAAUUUUUACCUGAAAGAUGCGUGGGUUGGUAUAUUUAUAGAGAGAGAUGAGUGAGGGGACUCCGACUGCUGUGCUCUCUGGCAUUUUUAAUUUCAGAAAUACACCCUACAUACAGCAACAUUUUAAAAUGUUGCUGUUUGUCAUUGUCAUGUUAAAAAAUACAUUUGUGCCCAAUUUCGGGGGCCUUUUUAGGGUCAUUUAAAUAAUGCAGCAGCUAAAAAAUUAUAUUUCAUUCCAAUUCAAAAGUGGGAUUAAUUAGAUUUGAAUAAUGACUCAUUUGACUUCACUAAUUUUUACAGACACCCUGUUGUCACACACAGAGAUUUACAUAUUUGUAAGUUUUGCAUGCUUUGUUUGCAAUCAGAGUUUGAUUUAACCAAAGUGUGAACACAGCCUAAAAUAAACAAAUGGAAAAGUACUCACUUGAUGAAUCUGCGGCGCGCAUGUUGCUCACAGAUGAGUUGAUAUACACAUCUCCAUGUGCGUCCCUCCCCGUAAACUUGCACCUUACAGU